Molecule: non-coding RNA, 297 nt
Organism: Pelobates cultripes (western spadefoot toad)
Lineage: Eukaryota; Metazoa; Chordata; Amphibia; Anura; Pelobatidae
Source: the annotation of a GenBank genome assembly
CGAGUAGAGGCUGGUAAUGUAUAUAAGGAACCAACUGUUUAUGUUUGCUUAUGUUAAUUAUGUUAAUUUUGUUAACUUGGUGACACCUCAACCCGCACAUCUCACCUGCACAGACAACACCUACACGCACGCCAACGCACAUUUGAACCCCGAAUGCCAAAAAUUGGCCAAAUCUAGCUCAGAUCUAUCCCCUAUCUAAUUGAAAAAGCACACCCACCAACCUACACCUAAGACAAAAAGGUUCUGGAUAACCUACUAACCCUAACCGGCUGGAAUUGCAGUGAAACUAAAAUGCAG